CAGUCGCCGCGGUAAUACGAAGGGUGCAAGCGUUACUCGGAAUUACUGGGCGUAAAGCGUGCGUAGGUGGUGGUUUAAGUCCGUUGUGAAAGCCCUGGGCUCAACCUGGGAAUUGCAGUGGAUACUGGAUCACUAGAGUGUGGUAGAGGAUAGUGGAAUUUCCGGUGUAGCAGUGGAGUGCGUAGAGAUCGGAAGGAACAUCUGUGGCGAAGGCGACUAUCUGGGCCAACACUGACACUGAGGCACGAAAGCGUGGGGAGCAAACAGGAUUAGAUACCCCAGUAGUCCCUGUCUCUUAUAC
RNAcentral lists this ribosomal RNA (301 nucleotides) under uncultured bacterium. RNAcentral's name for it is "partial 16S ribosomal RNA". It matches the Rfam family "Bacterial small subunit ribosomal RNA", at positions 509 to 807 of the family's 1533-position model. The record is from RNAcentral.